UGGCUCAGGACGAACGCUGGCGGCGUGCUUAACACAUGCAAGUCGAACGAUGAUCCGGUGCUUGCACCGGGGAUUAGUGGCGAACGGGUGAGUAACACGUGAGUAACCUGCCCUUGACUCUGGGAUAAGCCUGGGAAACCGGGUCUAAUACCGGAUACGACCUUUCACCGCAUGGUGGUUGGUGGAAAGAUUUUUUGGUUUUGGAUGGACUCGCGGCCUAUCAGCUUGUUGGUGAGGUAAUGGCUCACCAAGGCGACGACGGGUAGCCGGCCUGAGAGGGUGACCGGCCACACUGGGACUGAGACACGGCCCAGACUCCUACGGGAGGCAGCAGUGGGGAAUAUUGCACAAUGGGCGAAAGCCUGAUGCAGCGACGCCGCGUGAGGGAUGACGGCCUUCGGGUUGUAAAC
Molecule: ribosomal RNA, 410 nt
Filed under: Crystallibacter crystallopoietes
Lineage: Bacteria; Bacillati; Actinomycetota; Actinomycetes; Micrococcales; Micrococcaceae
Description: bacterial SSU rRNA
Rfam family: Bacterial small subunit ribosomal RNA
Source: RNAcentral